CUGAUACUCCCUCCGUCCGGAAUUAUUUGUAGCACAAAUGUAUAAAAAUGGAUGUAUCUGGAACUAAAAUACAUCUAGAUACAUCCAUUCCUAUGACAAGUAUUUUCGGACGGAGGGAGUAUAUA
This is a non-coding RNA of Hordeum vulgare subsp. vulgare (domesticated barley), 125 nucleotides long. The record is from Rfam. Lineage: Eukaryota; Viridiplantae; Streptophyta; Magnoliopsida; Poales; Poaceae.